CUCUGGCUGCAGCAUCACCUGACACGGGGUUCCUGUCUGAUACUGUAUCUAACUCAGCAAUCACUGCACAACUUACCGUCUUGCUACAUACAUUUUGGUGGCGGACCGUGGUCCGCGCCCGGGCUGAGUUCUGUGUCAGCAUCUGAACGUCCUUCUCCUGGCUCGCAUUCUUCUAGCCGGCUGAGAGGUUGUCAGGAUCCUGGGUCAAGAGUGGUCCAGCAGGGACAGGUCCAUGGUGAGACUGGCUGUACUGCAUCUGGAGCAUCCUUCUGGUGGCAUCAAGGGAGACGCUCGUCCCAGCUCUUUCAACCACAUUUCUCAGCCUCUGAAAUGCAGCAACUGCCCUGGAAGACUCGAGGUGACUGUGCCAGGAGGAGCUGCAGACGGCGUGCCUUGUGGGUCUGGAGGCAGGACUGGAGCCCCAGAGCGGGUGGGAUGGAGGGAAGGUCAAGGUGGGCAGGAGGCACCAGAAGUACAUCAGCGGGGGUGGGCCAGGGGCACGGAUGGGGGAUGGCACUCCAUCACCAAGGCGAUGCUACUUCCUCCUGCAGCCGUGGCUGGACCACGCCCUCCCAUCACCUCAUCAGUGGCUCCAGGUGCCUCUGUGGGCGUGUGGAGCAGGUUUGGUCACUUUCAGCUCAUGGAUGAGGAAGUAACCACAGAGACGGUUCUGUCCCUUUCCAGAAGAGGCUAG
This 694-nucleotide long non-coding RNA is filed under the name Sus scrofa (pig). RNAcentral's name for it is "lncRNA (ENSSSCG00050042848.1)". Lineage: Eukaryota; Metazoa; Chordata; Mammalia; Artiodactyla; Suidae. The record is from RNAcentral.